GGAGUUAGCCGGUGCUUCUUCUGCGAGUAACGUCACAGAUGUAAGGUAUUAACUUACACCCUUUCCUCCUCGCUGAAAGUGCUUUACAACCCGAAGGCCUUCUUCACACACGCGGCAUGGCUGCAUCAGGGUUUCCCCCAUUGUGCAAUAUUCCCCACUGCUGCCUCCCGUAGGAGUCUGGGCCGUGUCUCAGUCCCAGUGUGGCUGAUCAUCCUCUCAGACCAGCUAGGGAUCGUCGCCUAGGUGAGCCUUUACCUCACCUACUAGCUAAUCCCACCUGGGCUUAUCCAUCAGCGCAAGGCCCGAAGGUCCCCUGCUUUCCCCCGUAGGGCGUAUGCGGUAUUAGCAGUCGUUUCCAACUGUUAUCCCCCACAAUGGGCAAAUUCCCAGGCAUUACUCACCCGUCCGCCGCUCGUCAUCUUCAAAGCAAGCUUUUGAAAUGUUACCGCUCGACUUGCAUGUGUUAGGCCUGCCGCCAGCGUUCAAUCUGAGCCAGAUCGAACCCUGA
This 508-nucleotide ribosomal RNA is filed under the name uncultured bacterium. RNAcentral describes it as "partial 16S ribosomal RNA". The record is from RNAcentral.